UUCGCAAUGCCCGAAAGGGCGACGGAGCGACGCCGCGUGGAGGAUGAAGGCCCUCGGGUUGUAAACUCCUGUCAGGUGGGAAGAAUAGCAUCGGGCUGAACAACCCCGAUGCCUGACGUUACCACCAGAGGAAGCACCAGCAAACUUCGUGCCAGCAGCUGCGGUAAUACAGAGGCGGCAAGCGUUGUUCGGAAUUAUUGGGCGUAAAGAGCACGUAGGCGGCCUUGCAAGUCAGUUGUGAAAGCCUUCCGCUUAACGGAAGAAUGCCAGCUGAUACUACAGGGCUUGAGUACGGGAGGGGAGAGUGGAACUUCUGGUGGAGCGGUGAAAUGCGUAGAUAUCAGAAGGAACGCCGGCGGCGAAAGCGACUCUCUGGCCCGAAACUGACGCUGAGUGUGCGAAAGCUAGGGGAGCAAACGGGAUUAGAUACCCCGGUAGUCCUAGCCGUAAACGAUGGGCACUAAGUAGAGGGGUUUU
RNAcentral lists this ribosomal RNA (477 nucleotides) under uncultured anaerobic ammonium-oxidizing bacterium. RNAcentral describes it as "bacterial SSU rRNA". It matches the Rfam family "Bacterial small subunit ribosomal RNA", at positions 365 to 832 of the family's 1533-position model. The record is from RNAcentral.